CAUGAUCUGAGUUCAGACCGGCCGCCUGUUUAUCAAAAACAUCGCCUCUUGUAAACCACAGAUAAGAGGUCCCGCCUGCCCUGUGACUAUGGGUUCAACGGCCGCGGUAUUUUGACCGUGCAAAGGUAGCGCAAUCACUUGUCCUUUAAAUGAGGACCUGUAUGAAAGGCAUCACGAGGGCUUAGCUGUCUCCUUUUUCAAGUCAAUGAAAUUGAUCUCCCCGUGCAGAAGCGGGGAUUAGAACAUAAGACGAGAAGACCCUAUGGAGCUUUAGACACAAGACAGAUCAUGUUAAGCACCUCAGAUAAAAGAGCAAACUAAGUGGAACCUGUCUUAAUGUCUUUGGUUGGGGCGACCGCGGGGCAACAAAAAGCCCCCAUGAGGAAUAAAAGUAUUCUUUCAAAAACAAGAGCCACAGCUCUAAUGAGCAGAACAUCUGACCUACCAGAUCCGGCAUAGCCGAUCAACGAACCGAGUUACCCUAGGGAUAACAGCGCAAUCCCCUUUUAGAGCCCCUAUCGACAAGGGGGUUUACGACCUCGAUGUUGGAUCAGGACAUCCUAAUGGUGCAACCGCUAUUAAGGGUUCGUUUGUUCAACGAUUAAAGUCCUACAUGAUCUGAGUUCAGACCGG
Molecule: ribosomal RNA, 633 nt
Filed under: Lagocephalus guentheri (diamondback puffer)
Lineage: Eukaryota; Metazoa; Chordata; Actinopteri; Tetraodontiformes; Tetraodontidae
Description: partial large subunit ribosomal RNA
Rfam family: Bacterial large subunit ribosomal RNA
Source: RNAcentral